AAACCAUAUCAGUAACCAUAUGAUAUUUAAAAUCUUGAGAUCAAUUGUGUCGAGUAAAACAAAUUAAAUCAUGCCAGAUAAAAAUUAUGAAUUUUUCCAUAAAAGCAUCAUCUUCAGGAAGGACCUCAGGAGGGUGUUCUGCCAUCAUCACGUUAUGAAAAGCAUUUGAAAGAAAUGCUGACUGUUGUUGUUGACAAGGAGGAGGGGAUCCUUCCUGAGGAUGGUAUAACUUCGCGGGAGCCCUCCCAGAAAGACUCCUGUGUUAUCUCCAAUAACAGUACUACCAUUCAGGAUGGCAGAGGAACCUAGAGAAGAGGAGAUGAGAAAUACACCUUCACCAGGAUACUCUAGUUUUACUAGCUCAGCAAAUAAUAAAAUCCUUCACCAGCC
This 390-nucleotide long non-coding RNA is filed under the name Homo sapiens (human). RNAcentral describes it as "USH2A antisense RNA 2". The record is from RNAcentral. Lineage: Eukaryota; Metazoa; Chordata; Mammalia; Primates; Hominidae.